RNAcentral lists this long non-coding RNA (227 nucleotides) under Elaeis guineensis (African oil palm). Its description in RNAcentral is "long non-coding RNA (EGUI_LNC024132)". The record is from RNAcentral. Lineage: Eukaryota; Viridiplantae; Streptophyta; Magnoliopsida; Arecales; Arecaceae.
CUUUUGACUAAAUUUAUCAUUGUCUUUCUUUGAUUUGUCACCCUUUUUGCCAUCUCUAGGCCAAUUAUUUUCCUUGAUCCCCGUGGCUGAAUUCUUUAACUUUGAAGAGCUUCAGCUCUUUUUAGAUGCUCUCAUGGAGACCUCUAACAUACUUCAUGAAAACUGCAAGAUCAUCGAUGGAGAUCCUAAAGGAGAUUACUUGCUUGUAGAACUUGAUGGUGUAGUAC